GUCCAGAUGAUGAGUCUCAAAUAAGACGAAAAGCGCAUCCUGGAU
This 45-nucleotide non-coding RNA is filed under the name Schistosoma curassoni. The record is from RNAcentral. Lineage: Eukaryota; Metazoa; Platyhelminthes; Trematoda; Strigeidida; Schistosomatidae.